GAGUUUGAUCCUGGCUCAGGAUGAACGCUGGCGGCAUGCCUAAUACAUGCAAGUCGAACGAGGGUCCUUCGGGACUCGAGUGGCGAACGGGUGAGUAACACGUAGGGAACCUGCCCGUGCGACCGGGAGAACUUUCGGAAACGGAAGCUGAUACCGGAUAGGGACAGAGACGGCAUCGACUCUGUGUUAAAGGAGCUGAAAGGCUCCGCGCACGGAUGGACCUGCGGUGCAUUAGCUAGUUGGUGAGGUAACGGCCCACCAAGGCGACGAUGCAUAGCCGGCCUGAGAGGGCGGACGGCCACACUGGGACUGAGACACGGCCCAGACUCCUACGGGAGGCAGCAGUAGGGAAUUUUCGUCAAUGGGCGCAAGCCUGAACGAGCAAUGCCGCGUGAACGAGGAAGGUCUUCGGAUCGUAAAGUUCUGUUGAAGGGGAAAAAGAGCGGAGAGAGGAAAUGGUCUCCGAUUGAUAUUACCCUUCGAGGAAGUCACGGCUAACUACGUGCCAGCAGCCGCGGUAAUACGUAGGUGGCGAGCGUUAUCCGGAAUGAUUGGGCGUAAAGGGUGCGUAGGCGGCCUGCUAAGUCUGGAGUGAAAGGUACCGGCUCAACCGGUACAGGCUCUGGAAACUGGCGGGCUAGAGAGCAGGAGAGGGCGGUGGAACUCCAUGUGUAGCGGUAAAAUGCGUAGAUAUAUGGAAGAACACCAGUGGCGAAGGCGGCCGCCUGGCCUGUUACUGACGCUGAGGCACGAAAGCGUGGGGAGCAAAUAGGAUUAGAUACCCUAGUAGUCCACGCCGUAAACGAUGAGGACCAAGUGUUGGGGAAGACCCAGUGCUGCAGUUAACGCAGUGAGUCCUCCGCCUGGGGAGUAUGCACGCAAGUGUGAAACUCAAAGGAAUUGACGGGGGCCCGCACAAGCGGUGGAGUAUGUGGUUUAAUUCGAAGCAACGCGAAGAACCUUACCAGGCCUUGACAUAGGGUGCGAAGCUAUGGAGACAUAGUGGAGGUAAACAUCCAUACAGGUGGUGCAUGGUUGUCGUCAGCUCGUGUCGUGAGAUGUUCAGUUAAGUCUGGCAACGAGCGCAACCCUCGUGAUGUGUUACCAAUAUCGAGUUAGGGACUCACAUCAGACUGCCGGUGAGAAACCGGAGGAAGGCGGGGAUGACGUCAAAUCAUCAUGCCCCUUAUGGCCUGGGCUACACACGUACUACAAUGGCGGCGACAGAGGGCAGCGAGCCUGCGAAGGCAAGCGAAUCCCCAAAAAGCCGUCCCAGUUCGGAUUGGAGUCUGCAACCCGACUCCAUGAAGUUGGAAUCGCUAGUAAUCGCGGAUCAGCAUGCCGCGGUGAAUACGUUCUCGGGCCUUGCACACACCGCCCGUCAA
RNAcentral lists this ribosomal RNA (1385 nucleotides) under uncultured bacterium. RNAcentral's name for it is "bacterial SSU rRNA". It matches the Rfam family "Bacterial small subunit ribosomal RNA". The record is from RNAcentral.